This 686-nucleotide long non-coding RNA is filed under the name Phascolarctos cinereus (koala). RNAcentral describes it as "lncRNA (ENSPCIG00000020948.2)". The record is from RNAcentral. Lineage: Eukaryota; Metazoa; Chordata; Mammalia; Diprotodontia; Phascolarctidae.
AAUUGAAAUUGGACAAGAACCACCUGAGGUCAAGACAUAACUCAUCGUACUCCUCAAGUUGUCAGAGGAAAGGAAAAAAUAUUUGAUGGCUUCAGUCAUGGAUCAGGAAAAAGUCGGAGAUAUCGAAAUCACCAAUGAACAAAUAAUAAAUGAAAAUGUUGAAAUACUAUUAAGGCUCUGGACUAACAGAGAACUGGAAUUUAAACAGGAAGAGCUGAAAUUGAAAAAAUUGUCUCUAGAGGUAAAUCAAAGAUAUAGAGAGGACCUCGAAGUUAUCCGUAUGAAGACUGAGGACCUGCUUAAUAAAACAAAACAAUAUUCAACCACAUUUGAAGAGAAUAUGGAAACUAAGAAAGUGGAAAAAACAGCAAAAGAAAAAUUAUCGGCCCCAGAUCAUUCUCAUUCAAUGCCAGGAUCAAAAAAAGAACAGCAACAACAAGAACAAGAAGCAAUAAUAGUAGAAGCAGAAGCAGAAGCAGAAGCAGAAGAAGAAGAAGAAGAAGAAGAAAGAAGAAGAAGAAGAAGAAGAGAAAGAGAUUAGUAGAGACAAAUCUACAGUUACUAGGGCUCAAAAGAUGCUAUCCAUGUUCUGCAAUAUCAAAGGAUUCUGUGGCCUGAACUUAUUUCAUUUUAAAAAACGUGAAUGACCAAAGAAAGUAUAUAAGCUGGAAAACUAUGGACAAAAG